AAUGGGCGCAAGCCUGAUCCAGCAAUGCCGCGUGUGUGAAGAAGGCCUGCGGGUUGUAAAGCACUUUCAGUGGGGAAGAACGGAUACGGGCCAAUACCCCGCAUCACUGACGUUACCCACAGAAGAAGCACCGGCUAACUCCGUGCCAGCAGCCGCGGUAAUACGGAGGGUGCAAGCGUUAAUCGGAAUCACUGGGCGUAAAGCGCACGUAGGCGGCCCGCUAAGUCAGAUGUGAAACCCCUGGGCUCAACCUGGGAAUGGCAUUUGAUACUGGCAAGCUCGAGUCCGAGAGAGGGGGGUGGAAUUCCAGGUGUAGCGGUGAAAUGCGUAGAUAUCUGGAGGAACACCGGUGGCGAAGGCGGCCCCCUGGCUCGUGACUGACGCUGAGGUGCGAAAGCGUGGGUAGCAAA
RNAcentral lists this ribosomal RNA (410 nucleotides) under uncultured bacterium. RNAcentral's name for it is "bacterial SSU rRNA". It matches the Rfam family "Bacterial small subunit ribosomal RNA", at positions 370 to 772 of the family's 1533-position model. The record is from RNAcentral.